CACACAAGGAGAUUCAGCACUGUUAAGAAGAGAAAUCCAAGUUGACUUGGCAUGAAGCAGGAGGCUGAUUGAGAGCUUUGAAACCUCUUUAAACUUGGACAUUUCAAGAAUCCUGGAAGAGCACUAUUGUGAAAAAAACUAGGAGACCUGCCAGGAAUGAGUGUUUGGUUUCUGCUCUGGAGGUGCUUGAGAAGGGCAAUAGAUCUUAUCUCCAAGUCUUAUUUUCUAAAGAGGUUCCAAGCCAUCGAUACGCAUGAUCUUCAGCAUCCCAGCAGCCAUUUCCUGCUGACCGCUGAGCAGGAAGAGCACAUGACCCUGGCUGGAGCCGCCAAGAGGGUGGAGAUGAUCAGAAAUCCUUUCACUGUCAAAUUCAGAGAAGAAACAUGCUGAGAAGAGGCACUUCCUAUGCCAGGCCUACCUGUGCCGUGAGGAAUACAUGUAGGAGACACUAUUUGAAAAGGUCGCCACCUUGCUGGAACAACCAAUGCAGAGAUAAUGCUGGGCCCUCUAAUCAGUUGAACAGUGGCUUCAAAAAGAUAGGUCAAAGUUAUAAUCUCCUGCAGCUGUGCAUGUGACUUUCUUUGGAAAUAGGAUCUUGCAGGUAUGAUGAAGGCCUAUCUUCCCCAGGCCUGCCAAAGGGAUCCUGCAAAAAAGCAAAUCUGAUCAUAUCCCAGCUCUCAGACCUCUCCACUCGAUGUCCAUCAGCUCCAGGAGGUGCCUUCCAAGGCCUGAAGGUUGACAGAUCCCCCAGGAUCCCCAGGGCCAGCCUACUCUGCAGCCUCACCUCCCAUGCUCCCCUUAUGCCAAUUCUCAGCAGGUUUCUCCCCUGCUUCAUCCCCUAAAUGUUACCCUCCAGUGAUAUUAUUGAUCACCUUCUGAGCAUGCGAUGCCUGCCUGUGACUUUCCACACAGUUUCCCUGAGUCAGGAAAUGUUCUUUUUGCUUGACAACCUGGCAAAGUCUGGUUAGCUUUCCAAUUCAGCUAGGACCAGAGCCUUCUCUUACCUUUACAUCUACCCACCACACCCCUGAAUUAAUUUAAUCUCUCCUCCCUCUCUACUACCUCUUUAAGUUAAACUUAAUCCUCUGCUGGUACCUGUUACACAAGUGUGAGAAUUGAGAAUUCUUACUGUUUAAAGGUCCACUUCCCUACUAGAGUGGAGUUUUGUUUUUUGUUUUUUUCUUUUUCUUUUUUUUUUUUUUUUUGAGAUGG
RNAcentral lists this long non-coding RNA (1212 nucleotides) under Homo sapiens (human). Its description in RNAcentral is "HSALNT0342529". Lineage: Eukaryota; Metazoa; Chordata; Mammalia; Primates; Hominidae. The record is from RNAcentral.